AAAAAUGGAAUAUUGUAUUUAAGGAAUAAGAUUUAAUUUUACGAAGAAAUUUUAAAGCAUAUGGUUAGCCUAGGUCAUGUAUUGGACCUUUUUGCUUCCACACUUGACUAGGUCUUAAAGAUCAUUAGUAGGUUUUAAUAUUAAUUUGUAAAUUUAUUAUCUUGCUUAAGUGCAAAAACCAUUUUGAUAUUGAAAAUAAAAAUAUUGAUUAUGAUAUGUUUUUUCUUUUUCCUCUGUUUAUUGAACAAGUAAAAACUUGAUCUUGGGAAUGCUUCAUCAGGAGAAAUGAGGUUGGGAUCUGAGUUACAAACAAUUUUAAGUUAGGAUGAAAAAGAAAAAAGAAAAAAAAAAUGAAAAUACCCUAACAAACGCCAAUAAUGAAUCCAAAUUCCCAAACACCCCCUUAUUUUCAAACUUGGCCCACCACAUGGUUCACCUCCAACUCCAAAGUCCAAUGGUGAGGGCCCAACUUUCCAACAGCCUUGUUCUGCUUUACUCCCUUGUUCUCGAGUCUUGACACAAAAAAAAAAAAAAAAAAAAAAAAAAAAAAAAAAAAAAAGGAGGAGAUCAGAAGACGAUGAUGAUACGGGAUUCCAAAAUCCUGUAAUCCGAAUACCAAAGGAAUCGGCCCUGAUUUUAACAUCAUCAAUCUGCUACUUUAUGCAUCUGGCUUCUUCGGUUUUUCCCAUCAAAGGAACCAAUUAUGCAAAUUGUCUUUGAUUCGAGAUCUCUGUUUAGAUAUGCUGUUGUCCUGUUGAAUAUAUGAUACCCAAAUUUAUCUGUGAUUUUCCCAUUAAAGGGACCAAAAGGCAAUUAGGCCGCUAUAUUUUCCAAUUCCAAUAUGGUUUACCUUUUACAUAAUCCAAAGUCUGAUCUGUAUAUGUUUACAGUUCACAUACUAAUUAAUAUCAUUAUCAAUGA
This is a long non-coding RNA of Lactuca sativa (garden lettuce), 921 nucleotides long. RefSeq lists it as uncharacterized. The record is from RefSeq and is a predicted model, not a curated record. Lineage: Eukaryota; Viridiplantae; Streptophyta; Magnoliopsida; Asterales; Asteraceae.